UGGGGAAUAUUGGACAAUGGGGGGAACCCUGAUCCAGCCAUGCCGCGUGUGUGAAGAAGGCCUUUUGGUUGUAAAGCACUUUAAGCGAGGAGGAGGCUACCGAGAUUAAUACUCUUGGAUAGUGGACGUUACUCGCAGAAUAAGCACCGGCUAACUCUGUGCCAGCAGCCGCGGUAAUACAGAGGGUGCAAGCGUUAAUCGGAUUUACUGGGCGUAAAGCGCGCGUAGGUGGCCAAUUAAGUCAAAUGUGAAAUCCCCGAGCUUAACUUGGGAAUUGCAUUCGAUACUGGUUGGCUAGAGUAUGGGAGAGGAUGGUAGAAUCCCAGGUGUAGCGGUGAAAUGCGUAGAGAUCUGGAGGAAUACCGAUGGCGAAGGCAGCCAUCUGGCCUAAUACUGACACUGAGGUGCGAAAGCAUGGGGAGCAAACAGG
Molecule: ribosomal RNA, 430 nt
Filed under: Actinomycetes bacterium
Lineage: Bacteria; Bacillati; Actinomycetota; Actinomycetes
Description: Actinobacteria bacterium partial 16S ribosomal RNA
Rfam family: Bacterial small subunit ribosomal RNA
Source: RNAcentral